This 734-nucleotide long non-coding RNA is filed under the name Brassica napus (rape). RNAcentral describes it as "long non-coding RNA (BNAP_LNC019120)". The record is from RNAcentral. Lineage: Eukaryota; Viridiplantae; Streptophyta; Magnoliopsida; Brassicales; Brassicaceae.
AAAAACACAGUUUGUAGUUCGAUAAUCUCUGACCAUUGAUAACUUUUGAUCCAAUGGCCUUAAAUCAAUCUUUUGUUAAUCUUCGUCACUCUUUCUCAUUGGUUCACAUUGUAAAAGGUGGAUAACUCAUUAUUAAUCUCAGUCGUUGAUAAGUGUCAAUCUAAAAGAAGGAAUUAAUGUAUUUGAUUUAAUAUUUUCUUUAUCUUUUUCUUCCUUCUCGUCCCUGUCGAGACUUCAUGCUUCCUCUUCUCCUCUCUCAUUGUCUCUUCUAUUUCUCUUCUUCUCAUCUCCUCAAAGAAAAAAGACAGAGCAAGCAUCAACAAUCGUUGGUGAGAUUUAUGUAUUUUGUUUCUUCUCUUACGCUCCUCUGUUUUAAAAUUUAUUAAUGUUUUUUUUAUUUUCCAGAUCUGAGAAAGUGGUGAUGUGAUGAGGAACCACUUUCCGUUGCAAAUUUGUGAGGCAAAGUAUUCUCUUGCAAAUUUGCGACGGAAUUUUUUUUCUCGCAAAUUUGCAAUGAUAUUGCGAGCGUUUUUUAUUUGCGACGAGCGAUUUACAACGGAAUACGUUUCCUCGUAAUAAUCUCGCAAAUGGCGAUUUGUAACGAAAUUGCGAUGCUUAUUUCCCUUGCAACAGACUUGUUUUCUUGUAGUGAACGAAUUAUCCUACUACUUUUUAUCUCAUAUAUUAAAAAUUAUCUUAAUUUCCUGUUAGAAUAUAAUUACUCGAAUAUUUUU